UGGGGAAUAUUGCACAAUGGGCGCAAGCCUGAUGCAGCCAUGCCGCGUGUAUGAAGAAGGCCUUCGGGUUGUAAAGUACUUUCAGCGGGGAGGAAGGGAGUAAAGUUAAUACCUUUGCUCAUUGACGUUACCCGCAGAAGAAGCACCGGCUAACUCCGUGCCAGCAACCGCGGUAAUACGGAGGGUGCAAGCGUUAAUCGGAAUUACUGGGCGUAAAGCGCACGCAGGCGGUUUGUUAAGUCAGAUGUGAAAUCCCCGGGCUCAACCUGGGAACUGCAUCUGAUACUGGCAAGCUUGAGUCUCGUAGAGGGGGGUAGAAUUCCAGGUGUAGCGGUGAAAUGCGUAGAGAUCUGGAGGAAUACCGGUGGCGAAGGCGGCCCCCUGGACGAAGACUGACGCUCAGGUGCGAAAGCGUGGGGAGCAAACAGG
RNAcentral lists this ribosomal RNA (429 nucleotides) under Fusobacteriota bacterium. RNAcentral describes it as "Fusobacteria bacterium partial 16S ribosomal RNA". It matches the Rfam family "Bacterial small subunit ribosomal RNA", at positions 355 to 776 of the family's 1533-position model. Lineage: Bacteria; Fusobacteriati; Fusobacteriota. The record is from RNAcentral.